Molecule: ribosomal RNA, 468 nt
Filed under: uncultured bacterium
Lineage: Bacteria
Description: partial 16S ribosomal RNA
Rfam family: Bacterial small subunit ribosomal RNA
Source: RNAcentral
GACGAACGCUGGCGGCGUGCUUAACACAUGCAAGUCGAACGGAAAGGCCCUGCUUUUGUGGGGUGCUCGAGUGGCGAACGGGUGAGUAACACGUGAGUAACCUGCCCUUGACUUUGGGAUAACUUCAGGAAACUGGGGCUAAUACCGGAUAGGAGCUCCUGCUGCAUGGUGGGGGUUGGAAAGUUUCGGCGGUUGGGGAUGGACUCGCGGCUUAUCAGCUUGUUGGUGGGGUAGUGGCUUACCAAGGCUUUGACGGGUAGCCGGCCUGAGAGGGUGACCGGCCACAUUGGGACUGAGAUACGGCCCGGACUCCUACGGGAGGCAGCAGUGGGGAAUAUUGCACAAUGGGCGGAAGCCUGAUGCAGCAACGCCGCGUGCGGGAUGACGGCCUUCGGGUUGUAAACCGCUUUCGCCUGUGACGAAGCGUGAGUGACGGUAAUGGGUGAAGAAGCACCUGCUAACUACGUG